GAUGAACGCUGGCGGCGUGCCUAAUACAUGCAAGUCGAGCGAACGGACGAGAAGCUUGCUUCUCUGAUGUUAGCGGCGGACGGGUGAGUAACACGUGGAUAACCUACCUAUAAGACUGGGAUAACUUCGGGAAACCGGAGCUAAUACCGGAUGAUAUUUUGAACCGCAUGGUUCAAAAGUGAAAGACGGUCUUGCUGUCACUUAUAGAUGGAUCCGCGCUGCAUUAGCUAGUUGGUAAGGUAACGGCUUACCAAGGCAACGAUGCAUAGCCGACCUGAGAGGGUGAUCGGCCACACUGGAACUGAGACACGGUCCAGACUCCUACGGGAGGCAGCAGUAGGGAAUCUUACGCAAUGGGCAAAAGCCUGACGGAGCAACGCCGCGUGAGUGAUGAAGGUCUUCGGAUCGUAAAACUCUGUUAUUAGGGAAGAACAUAUGUGUAAGUAACUGUGCACAUCUUGACGGUACCUAAUCAGAAAGCCACGGCUAACUACGUG
RNAcentral lists this ribosomal RNA (497 nucleotides) under uncultured bacterium. RNAcentral describes it as "partial 16S ribosomal RNA". It matches the Rfam family "Bacterial small subunit ribosomal RNA", at positions 28 to 507 of the family's 1533-position model. The record is from RNAcentral.